CUAACCCUAAUUUUCCCAUUCCCUUCAGCCGCCACACCCCUUUCAACUUUUCCUUCCUUCCAAAAUCAAACACAGACCCAGCACAUAGCAGCAGAAAAAAGAAAAAAAAAAGAAAGAAAUCAACAGAAAGAAAGAAAGAAAACGUUGAGGGAGAGAAGGAGAAAUGGAGUUAGAGAAGAGAAGAGCGGAGAGGGGGAUGGCCAGCGCUGGUGGGCCGAGCUGCUCACCGCCAUCGUUGCUAGCACCGACGCGGAGGAGGGAGCCAGAGGAGAAGAAGCACAACGAUGUUCUGCCGUUCCUCGCCGCGGAUGAAGCUCGCCGAUGCUGCACCACACCUCGCGAACCACUACUGCGUCGCGUCUAUCGUCGUCUUCGCUGGUUCCGGUCGCCAUCGUCGUCUCUGCCGUGAAGCCCGUCGCCGCCUUCCUUCUCGCCAUGAAGCCAGCGGCGCCAUCGUCAUCAUCACGGACUACUGCUGCGCGUGACGCCGCCGCCGCCUCUGAGUCCGUCGCCGUCAAGCAGAGCCACGGGCAGAGAGAGGAUCCCCAGGUGAGAGAGAGAGAACCUGGGAGGGCCGCGGCCAGUCCAGCCACCGCGCCCAGUCACCGGCGUCGUCUUCGUCUGAACCACCGCCAGAUCCGCCGCUGCCGAAUCUUCUGGCUGCGCCUCUGUCGUCGACGGAGCUUGCCGUUACUGGAGGUGAGUCGGCAUCGCGUUCUUGCUGUUUUGAGCCACCAGCGCCGCUGCUGCUACUCCAAAAUUCCACUUCUGUUUCUCAGGGUUUGCUAUCUCAGCCCCCUUGAAGUUACCGUCGGUUCUGUCCUUGCCGGUGAGGGUCACCGGAGCUGCUGCAAUUCCAGUCUUUUGUUCCUCUGCUAAGGUUAUUCUGUCGCGCCUUGUCUCGCUAUAAUGUUUCAUUAAUUAACUCUGUCCUACUUUACAUAAAUGUUCCUUUGUAUCCUUGCUCAGCCUUAAACCAUAGUAGAUUAUUAGAUUCACCGUUGUUGCCGUUUUGUAGCUGCCUCGCGGUGUUGUUCCAUCGUCACUGUUGCUGGAAGAAGCAGUCGAAGUGGCUGCCAUGAGUUAAAAGGAAAGGGAGUUGUUAUAAUAGGUUUAUGCGAACUCGGCUAAUCGAGAGUUGUUGUGGUAGCUAGGUAAGCGGUUUGGAGGUGAGGCUGUAGCUGCCACUGAUUGCGGGCCGAAAAGAAAGGGUUUCUUGAUGCGUUUGGUUUAUGAGUUUCGAUUAUUCGAGGCUAGUUGAAAUUGAAAAUAAGAGUGAGAGAAAAAUGAUACAUACUGAAGAAAGAGCGAAUGAGGCCGGAAGCAUACAUAUUUAUGGAUCUAGAAAGGUUGGACGCAUGUUGCGCAAGCAAUAUGUCCCUUUGUGUUGUAGUGCAAUACACUCUUUAUACGAGUUAAUAGUCAAAAUCGUCCUUGAAAAAUGCCUCGAUCUCUAUUGUCGUUUUCGAAAGAUAAAGUUAAUCAAAAUAGUCUUCGAAAGAUAACCGAGUUAUUCACGUUCGUCCUUCGAUCAUCUCCCUCGUUGAGUUGGCUAACGUUGGCUGAUGUGUGACGUUAACUGCCACCGUGGCAGACGCCUAGAUGUCCCCUGCUAUUGCUGACAAGGUAACUAUGGUGAAAUAGUUCAAAUCAGUCCCUUAGUAUUUGAACCCUAAUCUUCAAUUCGAUGAUAAAUAAGUCGCUCUCAACAAUCAGAGGGCCAUAUACUUGGGUAGACCUUGAAAUUACUAGUUUGUAGUGAGGAUGGAGGCAGGAAAUGGAGGUCGUAGCGGUGGGGUUUCAUUUCCGUCGAACAGCAGUAAUAGUUCCAGCGCUUCAAUGCGAACCAGGAGGAAAACUCUUGAGGAAUCAUGUUUCUGUGGAUCGAAGGCUGUGAUAAAAAAUCUGGGACAACAGAGAACCCAGAUAGAUUAUUCCAUGCAUGUCGAAGGUACCGGUCACUGCAAUUACUUUAAGUGGGUCGAUGAUGAUGACUAUCAAGGGGUGGCUGAAGGUGGAACAAAGAAAGAUUAUAGAACUAAUUUGCAGGUUGAAAGUGGCUAUGAUGAAUGGAGGUUGAAGGUGGCAUGGAGACUGGGCAGCUUGGAAGCUGAAGUUAAAGCUUUGAAACUACUAUUAAUUUUCAUAUUUGUGGUAGUUGUCAUUAAUGUGACCCUAUGUUGUUUGUCAUGUACUUCCAAGUAAACCAAAUUCUGUUGAUAUGUCAUGGUGUAAUGAAUGGAAUGGCUUGAAUGAGAAUACAUGUUUCCAUUU
Arachis ipaensis is the source of this 2274-nucleotide non-coding RNA. Lineage: Eukaryota; Viridiplantae; Streptophyta; Magnoliopsida; Fabales; Fabaceae. The record is from RefSeq and is a predicted model, not a curated record.